RNAcentral lists this small nuclear RNA (108 nucleotides) under Fasciola hepatica (liver fluke). The record is from RNAcentral. Lineage: Eukaryota; Metazoa; Platyhelminthes; Trematoda; Plagiorchiida; Fasciolidae.
AACCUUAACGGUUCUCUGCCCUGUAUAUUAGUGCAUGGUAAGAAUCGUUGGACCAUCGGUCCAAACCCAUUAUUUGGCUAGCCUCCAUUCUGCAGAGGCUAAGAAUCC